UGUGGGAGGGGGCUUGCCCCCGAUGGCGGCGUAUCAGUUGGAGUAUCCAGCACUGAUCCAUCGCUAUCGGGGGCAAGCCCCCUCCCACA
RNAcentral lists this unclassified non-coding RNA (89 nucleotides) under Pseudomonas orientalis. The record is from RNAcentral. Lineage: Bacteria; Pseudomonadati; Pseudomonadota; Gammaproteobacteria; Pseudomonadales; Pseudomonadaceae.